UACGGGGGGGGCAAGCGUUGUUCGGAAUUAUUGGGCGUAAAGAGCUCGUAGGCGGUCUGUCGCGUCGGAUGUGAAAAUCCAGGGCUCAACCCUGGACCUGCAUUCGAUACGGGCAGACUAGAGUUCGGCAGGGGAGACUGGAAUUCCUGGUGUAGCGGUGAAAUGCGCAGAUAUCAGGAGGAACACCGGUGGCGAAGGCGGGUCUCUGGGCCGAUACUGACGCUGAGGAGCGAAAGCGUGGGGAGCGAACAGG
This 253-nucleotide ribosomal RNA is filed under the name uncultured bacterium. Its description in RNAcentral is "partial 16S ribosomal RNA". It matches the Rfam family "Bacterial small subunit ribosomal RNA", at positions 524 to 776 of the family's 1533-position model. The record is from RNAcentral.